UCAUCUCUUCUUCUUUUCCAAAACACCACAUCAUCUCUUCUUCCUCCCCCAAACCCUUUCUAAUCUCUCUGUCAACACUCAACAGUCGUUUCUUCGCCUUCCCAAAUCGAAAAUCGUGCGAGUUUGUUCCGCUUCCACGGACUGAUGUUUACUUAAACUUGAAAUUUCACCGAGUUCGCACUCUACUCUUCAGCCGUUGACCGGUGUGCACCGUCACUACAAAUCGUCAUUGCUAUCGAGUAAUCCGUCAAGGUUACACUGAAUUCAACUGGAUACGUCGAAAUAUGUAUUUUCAUAUGGUUAAUACAUCAUAUAACGUUUGGACUAAUUCAUUUCAUGUUUACGAUGUACCCGCGCCGCAACGCGGGUGGGUGUUAACCCUAGUUAUAUAUUAUUAACCUAAAGUUGAAGAGUAAUAUUAUCUUUUACUUUUAAUAAUUAAAUAAUAUAUAUGGAAGCUAGCAAACAAUGUCUGGACGGCUUGAUGUUGACGAAAAGAAAGAAGGGUUCUCGUUGCAGGUCAGCAUCACGGAUGUCAUGUCAUCAAAUGUUACUUUCGACCCGAGUACGCCGGUUUUCAUGUUGACCCGAUUGUACCAUCCAUUCUUUUUUAUUUAUUUUUAAAGUCCACCCAUUUUUAUAAGGGUAAAUUACAUUUUUGUCUAUUAUGUUUGUAUCAGAUGAGAUGGUAAUGGAUGAUUUUUAAUUUCAAUAAUUAUAGUUAUAAUUUUUUA
Long non-coding RNA from Helianthus annuus (common sunflower), 734 nucleotides. RefSeq lists it as uncharacterized. The record is from RefSeq and is a predicted model, not a curated record. Lineage: Eukaryota; Viridiplantae; Streptophyta; Magnoliopsida; Asterales; Asteraceae. The transcript is spliced from 2 exons.